CGAGCGCACCCUUCGGGGCGAGCGGCGGACGGGUUAGUAACGCGUGGGAACGUACCCUUCUCUAUGGAAUAGCCAUUGGAAACGAUGAGUAAUACCAUAUACGCCCUUCGGGGGAAAGAUUUAUCGGAGAAGGAUCGGCCCGCGUUAGAUUAGAUAGUUGGUGGGGUAAUGGCCUACCAAGUCUACGAUCUAUAGCUGGUUUUAGAGGAUGAUCAGCAACACUGGGACUGAGACACGGCCCAG
RNAcentral lists this ribosomal RNA (243 nucleotides) under uncultured bacterium. RNAcentral describes it as "partial 16S ribosomal RNA". It matches the Rfam family "Bacterial small subunit ribosomal RNA", at positions 63 to 334 of the family's 1533-position model. The record is from RNAcentral.